Molecule: long non-coding RNA, 2956 nt
Organism: Zingiber officinale
Lineage: Eukaryota; Viridiplantae; Streptophyta; Magnoliopsida; Zingiberales; Zingiberaceae
Exons: 5
Source: RefSeq, a predicted model, not a curated record
CGCAUCGUCUUCUUAUCGGGUUGGCAAAAGGCUACUCAUCGUCUUCUUCAUCGGGCAAAGAAGCGAGCGAGAGAGAGAGAGAGAUGAGCGCAGAACUAAUCUAAGACCUCCUCGUCUCAGUUCUCGAUGAUGCAGCUAUCUGAUACCUCUUGAGGAUGAUUUUCUUUUGGAUUUGGCGGAGUAUUUGUUGACUGGAAGGCGAAUCUGCCACGCCAAGAAGGUAGGCGCAGAACUGAUCCAAGACCUCCUCGCCUCAGUUCUCGAUGAUGCAACUAUCUGAUACCUUUUGAGGAGGAUUUGCUUUUGGAUUUGGCAGAGUAUUUGUUGACUGGGAGGGGAAUCUGCCGCGCCAAGAAGGGUUUCUAUCGGAUCAACAGACAAGCUGCGAGAUGGAGAAGAAGAUGGUUUCUAUUGGUCCCACGGACAAGUGGCGAGAUGGAGAUUAAGAUGUGAUUAUCACAAGUGGGCAGAAAGUUUUGAUUUACACCAGAUUCUUUUGUGCAAUCCUGAUGACAUUUACUCAAAGGAAAUAGCAGACAAGGAGCCACAAUAUCAACAAUUUGAAUUCCUCUGGAUGGGAUAUUUUGAGAACUUUAUCAGGUGCAGCUGCAUAUUGUAUGUCUACUCCACGAUUUGCAAAAAUUUGGUGGGAUAAAGGAUGUGACUUGAGAAGAUCAAUUUUGAUAUGGCGACCGGUAGGAUGCCCAGCUUUUGGCACACUUGGUGAUUGUGUGAUACAAGGGUUAGACAUUGGCUCUUCUUAUGUUUUAUAAAUGAUACAAAAUUUGUGAUAUAAUAAUUCACAAUUUACUUGUUUCUGUUUAGAACCACCAGCUUUAGAUUGAUAACAUAAUUUGUGUUUAUCAUAACUCACGAGUUACUCAUUUGUCUCAAUGUGACAAUCCAUCAAUUUCUGCAAGUCCUGUAUAAUUCGCUAAAGUUGCACAUAUUUCUGGAAAAGGAUUUGAUCAAGCUUUUUUUCUGGUAUCCAAUUCCUCCUGGCUAUGUUUCAUUUGAUUGAGUGGUGACAACAACUGAUUAUCCACCAAAAAGGGAUUCAUAACUCACGAGUUACUCAUUUGUCUCAAUGUGACAAUCCAUCAAUUUCUGCAAGUCCUAUAUAAUUCGCUAAAGUUGCACAUAUUUCUGGAAAAGAAUUUGAUCAGGCUUUUUUUUUCUGGUAUCCAAUUCCUCCUGGCUAAGUUUCAUUUGAUUGAGUGGUGACAACAACUGAUUAUCCACCAAAAAAGGAUUUUGUCUGCUGUCCUAGAUCGGAUCUGUUAACCAAACAAAUGUUGCUAGUGAACCCAUUUCUAGGUCAUCUAGUUCAAAGGGCACAAAUUGCUAGAGUAUCUGGAAAGUUGAGAAUCAGGUAUCCCCCAAUUUUUUUGUUAUUCUCUUCUAUUUCACGUCCUGAUGUCUUCUUAUUCUUGACCUGUACUUUUCUUGCAUGUUUUGAUCACAUUAUACCAAUAACCCGAUUGGUGUACAAAUUUAGUGACUAUGCCAAAGCUAAAGCACAUGAAAAUGUUGCUGCUGAGUUGAAGUUGGAACUUCUCUCACUGAGUGUUUUGGACAAUUUUUGUGGAACAAUGAGUAGCCUUGUCUUGCUUACAUUGGUCUUAGAAAGAAGACACUUCAGUCUUCUUAUUUACUGUAUUAAUGCUUACUUUUGAUUUGGUUCAGAUGAUGCCACUUCUUGACACAACAGUGACAAUUAUUACACAUGGAAAUUUUCAGGCAAUGAAUGUUGUUCUAAUAUGUUCAAUUGCUUCAUCCACAUCAACAGACAACUAGAGGCAUGAGAGCCUCUAAUUGAACCAUUUGAUGCCAUAUUCAAGUAAUUAUUUGUAAUUUAUAUAUUUUGUAAGAUUUCAAUAAGAGUUUGAAAAAAAUGGGAGGGGGUUAUGUCAUUUACAGUUCCAUAUAUUCCUAUACUUCCUUAAAUCUAGUAUAUGUUGGACUUUACUAGUAUUUUCAUUAUUAGUUUUUUUACCCUUUAGAAUGGAAACAUAUUAUAAGCAAAAAUUCACAAUCCACAAUCAGCAUGCAAAUUCAUUUUUUUCAACGAGUGCCCUAAAUGUUAACAUUAGUGCUGCAAAUCUAGAAACUCUCAUUGAAACUAUUAUUUUCUGGUAUGCAAAAUGAUGUGGAGAACAAAUUGUUGAGAAAAAGCAAGGUAAUGUAUGAUGUCAAUUCACAUGUUACCCCAUUGAGAUUUGUUGUAUCUACAGUUGAACUAAUUAUAUGUUUUUAUUCUUCCAGGAAACUGGUGAAAAUUAUAGUAAUUCAGAUAAUUUAAUAGCCUCUGUAUAGUUGAUGAUGUUCAGGAACAAGCUCGGAUGUGAUAUGCAUUUGAGAGAAUUUGAACAAAAUUCAGAGACAACCAAGUUUUUACAGCACAAUGGGCAUGUUUCACUAUUCUUUCCUACUCCAAGAUUUUUGGAUAAGCUAAAUGUCGUGGCCAAUUCUAGGGAAUCAAGCUACUAUGUUGCUAUAUAGAUUCUUGAGUCGGAGGUCAUACAACUGUAUUUAUUCUUAUAAUCAUACUCUAAAUCAAUAGUUUUGGAUAUAAUUCUAUUUCAUACAUUUGCAAAGGUUAACUAUAGUGGAUGAUGGUAAUAACAUGACUACUUUUGUCCUUUAUGGUUGCUUAUUGAUGGUAAGGUAUUUGAUCAAUACAAACUUUUCCCACAAGUGCGAGGACAAGUUGCAUGAGUCCAUUGCUAUCAAAGAACACUAAGAGCCACGCUAGGCGGAACAAACUCUUCAUAUUUGAAGUUCCUAAGAAGAUCUAGUUAAAGUUGGAGAAGAGAGAAGAACUACAAAUUGGCUUAGGUCUACUGUAUGUGUAAGUGAACUAUAAUGUGAACCCAAUACUCCAAUUCAGCAUCAAAACCAGCACCCAAGACCAGGAAUUCAAAUCUGUUCUGCAUUUCACAAGUUCAGUUUCAGA